AGAGGCCCAAGUUGAUAAAUACCGGCGUAAAAAGUGGUUAGUACUAUAUUUUACUAAAGCCAAACAUCUUCAAAACUGUCAUACGUUCUCGAGGGCAGGAAGCUCUUCUACGAAAGUGGCUUUAAAUGAUACACUCCACGAAAGCUAGGAAACAAACUGGGAUUAGAUACCCCACUAUGCCUAGCCUUAAACAAAGGUGACUACUUUACACCUAUCGCUUGCCAGGGAACUACGAGCCCCA
This 241-nucleotide ribosomal RNA is filed under the name Sicyopterus stimpsoni. RNAcentral describes it as "partial small subunit ribosomal RNA". The record is from RNAcentral. Lineage: Eukaryota; Metazoa; Chordata; Actinopteri; Gobiiformes; Gobiidae.